Long non-coding RNA from Nymphalis io (European peacock), 2786 nucleotides. RefSeq lists it as uncharacterized. The transcript is spliced from 2 exons. NCBI's taxonomy places the organism in Eukaryota, Metazoa, Arthropoda, Insecta, Lepidoptera, Nymphalidae. The record is from RefSeq and is a predicted model, not a curated record.
UGUAAGGAUAGUUUAUAAUAUAACCAGAUUUUAAACUCAAAAUAUUAUAUAAUGGACCAAUUUGAGUUUGUUUGCUUAACAAAGUUGUGAUGGCAAACGGUCACCAUCACCCUAGACCAAUGUUAUUCCUUACAUUGUCAUGUACUGUCUUGUGCCUGUAGUUACACGGGCUCAUUAUGGACUAAUUUGGGUGGUAGCUCGUAGGUCUGCUUGAAUGCAGAUUACUGAUGGUAGGGCUUUUUGCAAGCUCGGCUCAAGUACCACACACUUAUCAGAUAUUCUACCGCAAAACAGCAGUACUCGGUAUUCUUAUGUUUCGGUUUGAAGGGUGAGUGAGCCAGUGUAAUUACAGGCACAAGGGACAUAACUUGUUAAUUCCCAAGCUUGGUGACGCAUUUUCGAUGUAAGUGAUGCAUAACGUUUCUUACAAUGCCAAUGUCUAUGGGCGUUGGUGACCACUUACCAUCAGGUGGCCCAUAUGCUCGUCCGUAAACCUAUACUAUAAAAAAACCGGUUCGUAAUGUAGAUUUAAAAACCGGCAAGAAAAUCAGUUACUGUUUCAACCAUUUCAAAUAUAUCAUAAUCAUCUAUUUAAUCUUAGGUAAUACACAUUAUUUGCUUAUGUAUUUAAAAAAAAUCACAUAAUUAAAUUAUAUAGCUAUAUACAUAGCCUAUGUCCUUUCUCGGGGCUUAAAUUUGCUUCAUAAGAAAUUUCAUCAAAUUCGGUUCAGUAGUUUAGCAGUGAAAGCGUAACAGACAAACAGAAUUUAGCAUUUAUAAUAUUAGGAUAUAUUGAUGCAUUACAUCGAAUCUUACUUUCUUAUAGAUUGUUUUUUUUUUUUUGUAUUAACCGUAGGAUUACAGAUUAUAAAAGCAUGUAUGUAUAUCGAUUUGUUACAGUGUGUAACGGGAAACGUUUGUCAAUUAUAAAAGUUUUUGAACGUUGUUCUUUGUUUACAUUUUGUAUCAAUUAUAAUAGAGAAACUAAAUAUUAUCAAAAUUGUAAAUCGAACUAUACAGUCGAUAUGAGCACUCGUUUUUUUUGUUUUGGAAAAUCAUCCUAUUAUUGUGCUAUGAAACGAAUCAUACAUGUUUUCAAUCGAACAGCAAGAGAAGUAAACAUUUUUUAAUUAAACUGUCCAAAGUGCCCGAUUGUUUUUUUAAAUAGCGAAUACUUAAUUUUAAACUCAUCGAAAAUAUUAACAUAUCGGAAUUGUAAUGAAAACCCCAUAGGUAUGAUGCCCAAAGCGAUUUAUCAAUUAAAAUAAGCUGUCAUUCAAUCAUUCAUUCAUUCGAUCGUGAACUGAUCUUAAUCGUGUUUUCUAAAGGGGAAAGGGGAUCUAAAAAAAGCCCUUUGAUAUCGGCACUAUUUCUUUCAGAAUUUUAUUCAUAUCGGUAGCUAUUUAUUUCGUUAUACAUAGCAUUUAAAUAUAAAAAAAUAUAUUAGUUUGGAGUAUAUAUAUGUGUGUAACGCUGCGAUCACACUUAUGUCUCGGUUGCGUAAUUGUGACGCAACUCUAAUCGGUCCAACCUCGCUCGGACAAGCGUUUAAUACCUUUAGAGUUAAUAGUGGAUAAUUCCAAAUGUAUCGUUUAUGUAAUCACAAUUUGUAUAUAAAUUGGUGUAUUUAAAGCUUAUUCUUAAAUAUAUAAUAACAAACAUCUAUGUAACUUGUUUGUAUAACGUCGAUUGUGACGCCAAUCUUUCGAUAGUUUAAUCAUUUAAUGUUAUUAAACUUAAGUCUCGUGGUCGAUUACACGCAAAUGUCUGACUGCAGUCUUAUUUAUAUAAUAUUAUAUUGUAUCAAAUAUACUUAAAACACAAAUUCAUACACAGAUUUUAAAUCACAGUUUUCUUUUAAUAAAACAACUGAUCUUCUUGCUUAGUUUUGGUAUAUCUGUGUUUUAAAAUGGCGUCCUAUCGUUUGAUAAAUAACGUGACUAAAAUUUAAUGUCUCAUAGAUAAUUAACUUCAUACAAUAUCAUUUGAUAAUCGAAUGAUUUAAUAAUAACCAGACUUGGGCAUAAUGUAAUCAGUAUAACGAUUAACGAUUACAAUAUGUAAUCAUCAAUCACGAUUACAGAUUAACUUUGAUUAUGAAGAGGUCGCGCGGAGUUUGACUCGCUCACUCUACUUUUUUUUAUUACAUUCGUUAUAAUGUAAUCGUGAUUAAAUUUUAAAUAUUUUAAUCGUAAUCGUUAAUCAGAUUAUAUUUGUCCAAGCCUGAUAAUAACAUUUAUGUUAGAACAACUGUUGCGAAUUGAUUGCUUAUCAGAUGAUAUUAAUUGAUAUGGAACGAUUUUCCCCUGUCAGACGUUAUUUGUCAAACAUUUAGAAUCGUUUAAAAUAAAAUCACAAAUGUUGCCGUAUUUUAUUUAGGUUAACGCAAAAAUACUUAAAAUAUUUUAAUCUCGUCUUAACGGUUGUAAAGAAUGAAAUUGGCGUAUUAAUAUUGACAAAUAAAACUGGUCGUUAGCAAGUAGCUAUAACAUAUUUAUAAAAUAUGUUACAAUUAUUAUUAUAUAACAUAAGCAUUUAAUGCGUUUAUGUAAUUGCAAUUGUUUAAUUGUAAAAACGCAAUGAUGUAAUUGCGUUUUUACAAUUAUAUAAUUGUAAAUGAACUUUCGUGUAAUUGUAAUAAUUACAAAUGUGUAAUGGAGUAAAUGUAAUAAUCGUAAUGUCGGUGAUAACUGUUGUGAUUUAAGAAUGUUUUGUAUGUCUGUAUUUUAACGAUUAAUUGUAAUAAUUUAUUGUAAAAUUAAUUUAUAUUACAAAUGAUAAACGAU